Molecule: small RNA, 60 nt
Filed under: Flavobacterium dankookense
Lineage: Bacteria; Pseudomonadati; Bacteroidota; Flavobacteriia; Flavobacteriales; Flavobacteriaceae
Description: Flavobacterium sp. ARSA-19 Flavo-1 RNA
Rfam family: Flavo-1 RNA
Source: Rfam by way of RNAcentral
UUUUAGCCACGAUGGAAGUGGAAAUCCUCGCAGAGAUUGAAACGAACAGCGGGAAUAUGG